UGAGACGGCCAUAGUAAGUUGGUAACACCUGUUCCCUUUCCGAACACAGAAGUUAAGCAACUUAUGUUGUUAUCAGUACUGUCCGGAAAGAUGGGAAAAUAACAAGCUGUCUUAA
This 115-nucleotide ribosomal RNA is filed under the name Candidatus Pacearchaeota archaeon. Lineage: Archaea; Nanobdellati. The record is from RNAcentral.